This 357-nucleotide ribosomal RNA is filed under the name Ditylum brightwellii. Its description in RNAcentral is "partial Bacterial large subunit ribosomal RNA". It matches the Rfam family "Bacterial large subunit ribosomal RNA", at positions 1163 to 1524 of the family's 2925-position model. Lineage: Eukaryota; Bacillariophyta; Thalassiosirophyceae; Lithodesmiales; Lithodesmiaceae. The record is from RNAcentral.
GCGGAAGAUGUAACGGGGCUAAACCAUGCACCGAAGCUGCGGCAGCGACACUAUGUGUUGUUGGGUAGGGGAGCGUUCUGUAAGCCGUCGAAGGUGUGCUGUGAGGCAUGCUGGAGGUAUCAGAAGUGCGAAUGCUGACAUGAGUAACGACAAUGCGAGUGAAAAACUCGCACGCCGAAAGACCAAGGUUUCCUGCGCAACGUUAAUCGACGCAGGGUUAGUCGGUCCCUAAGGCGAGGCUGAAAAGCGUAGUCGAUGGAAAACAGGUUAAUAUUCCUGUACUUCUGGUUAUUGCGAUGGAGGGACGGAGAAGGCUAGGCCAGCUUGGCGUUGGUUGUCCAAGUUUAAGGUGUUAGG